RNAcentral lists this ribosomal RNA (492 nucleotides) under uncultured bacterium. RNAcentral describes it as "partial 16S ribosomal RNA". It matches the Rfam family "Bacterial small subunit ribosomal RNA", at positions 28 to 507 of the family's 1533-position model. The record is from RNAcentral.
GAUGAACGCUAGCUACAGGCUUAACACAUGCAAGUCGAGGGGAAACGGCAUCGAAAGCUUGCUUUUGAUGGGCGUCGACCGGCGCACGGGUGAGUAACGCGUAUCCAACCUGCCCAUCACUUGGGAAUAACCUUGCGAAAGUAAGACUAAUGCCCAAUGACAUCCCACGAAGGCAUCCGAAUGGGAUUAAAGAUUUAUCGGUGAUGGAUGGGGAUGCGUCUGAUUAGCUUGUUGGCGGGGUGACGGCCCACCAAGGCAACGAUCAGUAGGGGUUCUGAGAGGAAGGUCCCCCACAUUGGAACUGAGACACGGUCCAAACUCCUACGGGAGGCAGCAGUGAGGAAUAUUGGUCAAUGGGCGAGAGCCUGAACCAGCCAAGUAGCGUGCAGGAUGACGGCCCUGUGGGUUGUAAACUGCUUUUAUAAGGGAAUAAAGUGGGUCACGUGUGACUUUUUGCAUGUACCUUAUGAAUAAGGACCGGCUAAUUCCGUG